GACGGAGGGCGCGAGCGUUGUUCGGAAUUACUGGGCGUAAAGCGCGCGCAGGCGGACUCGUGCGUCGGGAGUGAAAGCCCGGGGCUCAACCCCGGUGUUUGCUUCCGAUACGGCGGGUCUAGGGACCGGUAGAGGCCGGUGGAAUUCCCGGUGUAGCGGUGGAAUGCGUAGAGAUCGGGAAGAACACCAGUGGCGAAGGCGGCCGGCUGGGCCGGAGAGCUCCCUUUCGGGGGAGUGUCCGACGCUCAUGCGCGAAAGCGUGGGGAGCAAACAGG
This 275-nucleotide ribosomal RNA is filed under the name uncultured bacterium. RNAcentral's name for it is "partial 16S ribosomal RNA". It matches the Rfam family "Bacterial small subunit ribosomal RNA", at positions 524 to 776 of the family's 1533-position model. The record is from RNAcentral.